RNAcentral lists this ribosomal RNA (253 nucleotides) under uncultured bacterium. Its description in RNAcentral is "partial 16S ribosomal RNA". It matches the Rfam family "Bacterial small subunit ribosomal RNA", at positions 524 to 776 of the family's 1533-position model. The record is from RNAcentral.
UACGAAGGGAGCUAGCGUUGUUCGGAAUCACUGGGCGUAAAGCGCACGUAGGCGGAUGUGUCAGUCAGGGGUGAAAUCCCGGGGCUCAACCUCGGAACUGCCUUUGAUACAGCACAUCUUGAGUCCGGAAGAGGUGGGUGGAAUUCCUAGUGUAGAGGUGAAAUUCGUAGAUAUUAGGAAGAACACCGGUGGCGAAGGCGGCCCACUGGUCCGGUACUGACGCUGAGGUGCGAAAGCGUGGGGAGCAAACAGG